CUCCACAGUACUGGUAAAUCAUUUGUCUUAUAUUAUGAAAACAAAAAAAGUAAAUUGAUAUGAAAAAACUUACAGGUGGCAGAUCGUUAAAGAACUUCUAAGGAUAACUUCGAUGGAAACAAGCAAGGACUACAAAAAGAUUGGUUAGUACAUAAAUAGGGUUUCAAUAUAUACUAUAAUUCAAAUACAAGACUUAUAUGAAGCAC
This 206-nucleotide long non-coding RNA is filed under the name Brassica napus (rape). RNAcentral describes it as "long non-coding RNA (BNAP_LNC019029)". The record is from RNAcentral. Lineage: Eukaryota; Viridiplantae; Streptophyta; Magnoliopsida; Brassicales; Brassicaceae.